UGUAUUUAUGUAUUGCUAUAUAUAGCAUUGUUUUUAGUGUAUAUAUAUACUAAUGCAUAUAACCUUACAACACAUUAGUUAUCUGUUAUAUUUACAGUUAUUAGUGUGUAAAAUAAACCUUGAUGUAUGUGUGUGUGUGUGUUUUCUAUAUAUAUAUCCGAUGAGCAUACAUACUGAUAUGUUUGUAUGUAAAGUGCAUAACUGUUUAUAUACAAUGUACUAAUAUAAACGUUUCUAUAUACAUUGAUGUAUAUGACCAUAUAUAUACUUAUUAUCAGUUUAUACAGUUGUUAACUUAUAUGUACACUGAUUUAUAUACUACACUCAUAUUCACACUAACACUCACACGCACUCACACUCACAUUCACACUCAUAGAUAUAUAUACCACACAUAUAUGCGUGGUGUAUGGACUGAUGUGUAUAUAUAUACGAUAUGUAUAUACUGAUAUUUUUAUACAUGUAUAUAUACAGUUGCUUGCUAUCCGUUAUAUACAAUUAUCAAUGUAUAUAUACAUUUAUAUGCGCAUGAAUAUGCACCCUUACGCGUUGAUAAAUACAUAUAUACUGUGUAUGUAUACAUUAAUACAUGAAUUCUAUAUACACUUAUAUAUAUGAUCAUAUAGACUUUUAUUAGCAGUUUAUGUGUCUAUAUAUACGAUAUGUACAUACCGAU
RNAcentral lists this long non-coding RNA (673 nucleotides) under Amborella trichopoda. RNAcentral's name for it is "long non-coding RNA (ATRI_LNC001160)". The record is from RNAcentral. Lineage: Eukaryota; Viridiplantae; Streptophyta; Magnoliopsida; Amborellales; Amborellaceae.